GCUGCAACUCGCCUACAUGAAGUCGGAAUUGCUAGUAAUCGCGGAUCAGCAUGCCGCGGUGAAUACGUUCCCGGGCCUUGUACACACCGCCCGUCACACCAUGGGAGUCGGUAACACCCGAAGCCUGUAGUCUAACCGCAAGGGGGACGCAGUCGAAGGUGGGAUUGAUGACUGGGGUGAAGUCGUAACAAGGUAAC
This 197-nucleotide ribosomal RNA is filed under the name uncultured bacterium. RNAcentral describes it as "partial 16S ribosomal RNA". It matches the Rfam family "Bacterial small subunit ribosomal RNA", at positions 1304 to 1500 of the family's 1533-position model. The record is from RNAcentral.